UACGUAGGUGGCAAGCGUUGUCCGGAAUUAUUGGGCGUAAAGCGCGCGCAGGCGGUCUUUUAAGUCUGAUGUGAAAGCCCACGGCUCAACCGUGGAGGGUCAUUGGAAACUGGGAGACUUGAGUACAGAAGAGGAGAGUGGAAUUCCACGUGUAGCGGUGAAAUGCGUAGAUAUGUGGAGGAACACCAGUGGCGAAGGCGACUCCCUGGUCUGUAACUGACGCUGAGGCGCGAAAGCGUGGGGAGCAAACAGG
This 253-nucleotide ribosomal RNA is filed under the name uncultured bacterium. RNAcentral's name for it is "partial 16S ribosomal RNA". It matches the Rfam family "Bacterial small subunit ribosomal RNA", at positions 524 to 776 of the family's 1533-position model. The record is from RNAcentral.